UACACUCCUGCGGGAGGCAGCAGUGGGGAAUAUUGGACAAUGGGCGCAAGCCUGAUCCAGCCAUGCCGCGUGAGUGAUGAAGGCCCUAGGGUUGUAAAGCUCUUUCACCGGAGAAGAUAAUGACGGUAUCCGGAGAAGAAGCCCCGGCUAACUUCGUGCCAGCAGCCGCGGUAAUACGAAGGGGGCUAGCGUUGUUCGGAAUUACUGGGCGUAAAGCGCACGUAGGCGGAUCGAUCAGUCAGGGGUGAAAUCCCAGGGCUCAACCCUGGAACUGCCUUUGAUACUGUCGAUCUGGAGUAUGGAAGAGGUGAGUGGAAUUCCGAGUGUAGAGGUGAAAUUCGUAGAUAUUCGGAGGAACACCAGUGGCGAAGGCGGCUCACUGGUCCAUUACUGACGCUGAGGUGCGAAAGCGUGGGGAGCAAACAGGAUUAGAUACCCCAGUAGUCCCAUGAU
Molecule: ribosomal RNA, 453 nt
Filed under: uncultured organism
Description: partial 16S ribosomal RNA
Rfam family: Bacterial small subunit ribosomal RNA
Source: RNAcentral